UAUGGCUCAGGAUGAACGCUGGCGGCGUGCCUAACACAUGCAAGUCGAACGAGCGCCUCGGGUGCGAGUGGCGGACGGGUGAGUAACGCGUGGGUAACCUGCCUUACACAGGGGGACAACAGUUGGAAACGACUGCUAAUACCGCAUAAGCCCACGGGACCGCAUGGUCCUGUGAGAAAAGAUUUAUCGGUGUAAGAUGGACCCGCGUCUGAUUAGAUAGUUGGUGGGGUAACGGCCUACCAAGUCGACGAUCAGUAGCCGACCUGAGAGGGUGAUCGGCCACAUUGGGACUGAGACACGGCCCAAACUCCUACGGGAGGCAGCAGUGGGGAAUAUUGCGCAAUGGGGGGAACCCUUGACGCAGCAACGCCGCGUGAGUGAAGAAGUAUUUCGGUAUGUAAAGCUCUAUCAGCGGGGACGAAUUAGGACGGUACCCGCAGAAGAAGUCCCGGCUAACUACGUGCCAGCCGCUGC
Molecule: ribosomal RNA, 474 nt
Filed under: uncultured bacterium
Lineage: Bacteria
Description: bacterial SSU rRNA
Rfam family: Bacterial small subunit ribosomal RNA
Source: RNAcentral